AACGAACGCUGGCGGCAUGCCUAACACAUGCAAGUCGAACGAGACCUUCGGGUCUAGUCGCGCACGGGUGCGUAACGCGUGGGAACCUGACCUUAGGUUCGGAAUAACUCCCCGAAAGGGGUGCCAAUACCGGAUAAUGUCUUCGGACCAAAGAUUUAUCGCCUUUGGAUGGGCCCGCGUUGGAUUAGCUAGUUGGUAUGGUAAAAGACUACCAAGGCGACGAUCCAUAGCUGGUCUGAGAGGAUGAUCAGCCACACUGGGACUGAGACACGGCCCAGACUCCUACGGGAGGCAGCAGUGGGGAAUAUUGGACAAUGGGCGAAAGCCUGAUCCAGCAAUGCCGCGUGAGUGAUGAAGGCCUUAGGGUUGUAAAGCUCUUUUACCCGGGAUGAUAAUGACAGUACCGGGAGAAUAAGCUCCGGCUAACUCCGUG
This 433-nucleotide ribosomal RNA is filed under the name uncultured bacterium. RNAcentral's name for it is "partial 16S ribosomal RNA". It matches the Rfam family "Bacterial small subunit ribosomal RNA", at positions 29 to 507 of the family's 1533-position model. The record is from RNAcentral.